UACGGAAGGCAGCAGUGGGGAAUAUUGCACAAUGGGCGAAAGCCUGAUGCAGCUAUGCCGCGUGUAUGAAGAAGGCCUUAGGGUUGUAAAGUACUUUCAUCGGGGAGGAAAAAACAAAACUAAUAAUUUUAUUUCUUGACGUUACCCGAAAAAGAAGCACCGGCUAACUCCGUGCCAGCAGCCGCGGUAAUACGGAGGGUGCUAGCGUUAAUCAGAAUUACUGGGCGUAAAGAGCACGUAGGUGGGUUUUUUUAAGUCAGAUGUGAAAUCCCUGGGCUUAACCUAGGAACUGCAUUUUGAAACUGAAAUACUAGAGUAUCGUAGAGGGAGGUAGAAUUCUAGGUGUAGCGGUGAAAUGCGUAGAUAUCUGGAGGAAUACCUGUGGCGAAAGCGGCCUCCUAAACGAAUACUGACACUGAGGUGCGAAAGCGUGGGGAGCAAACAGGGAUUAGAUACC
This 457-nucleotide ribosomal RNA is filed under the name uncultured bacterium. RNAcentral's name for it is "bacterial SSU rRNA". It matches the Rfam family "Bacterial small subunit ribosomal RNA", at positions 340 to 786 of the family's 1533-position model. The record is from RNAcentral.